Molecule: long non-coding RNA, 1858 nt
Organism: Antechinus flavipes (yellow-footed antechinus)
Lineage: Eukaryota; Metazoa; Chordata; Mammalia; Dasyuromorphia; Dasyuridae
Exons: 3
Source: RefSeq, a predicted model, not a curated record
ACAGUUGUGGCCUAAAAAAGGAAAAAGUCCAGAUGGUUCCAACGCUUCUGCUCCAGUCUCCUGCCUUACUGGUGCCUGCCACUCCCAGAGUCCUAGCCUCCCCUCCAGUGCCUGUCCAGUUCCUGUGCUGGCCAGGGCCCUUCAUCCAUUCCCCAGGUUCCACUAGCCUCAAAAUCUAUGGUCAGCGGGGAUAGAUGUGGAUUUUUAAUUUCAAUGGUAGAGUGAAGAACAGAAGCAGGAGAAGGGAGAAGUGUGGCCCCCAGGCCAGGAAAAGGGAAAGCUGAGCCUUGGGACCAACUCCUUACUACAGAGGGAAAGGUGGCUAAGGUGAAAAUGAAGACCAGACCGUCCCACCAGCUGUUCCUGGCACAGUGGGCACCGGUACUUGGGCUGCACGGCAUGCUGGGCUAUGGUAUGGGCCUGUACCUGCUCACUGGCAGGGCUGAUGAAGCUGCAGUACGGACAGCAGUACACCUGGAGGGAUGCGUAGCUCUCCCUUCGGCCAGAGCAGUUCUAGAAAGGAGGCCAUACCUGCCUGUUUCGGAGCCCACUCAUCCUCCCUCCGUGUCGGCUCAGCUCCCACUCUUUCUUUUCCUUCUUCCUUUUUUUUUUUUUUUUUUUUUUUUUUUUUUUUUUGGUAAACAAACACCACAGCUCCCCCAGUGGCCAGUGGCCCAGGAAAAUUCUGGCCUGGCCUCCUCCCUCUGGCUCAGGUCCCCCCUUCCAUCCACUCCUCCCCCUCUAAAGGGGCGGGGAAAUGGGAGUGGAGAUGGAGCUGGUGGUGGUGGAAGAGGAUGCGAGCUCUGGAAGUACUGUUUGUGUGAUGGAGCAGUGAGAGACUCUUCCCUUUGCUGUGAGCAAAGGGCCUGGGCACUGGAUCUCCCUUCUCUGGAUCAGGCCUUACAGCUCAGAACUCCUCACUUGGGUUAUUUACUUUCUGGCUACGGGAAAUGGUUGGUAGAUGCCUCGAGGGGAAGGCACAAGUGGGUGGAGAGUCCUUGAGCCAAUCCCUCAUUCCACUGCCCCCACCCCCAGCGCAGAUGAAGAAGGCCAGUGAUUGGACUCACUGGACACAGUGAAAGUGACUACAACGUUGCUUGCCGUUGCCACCCUUCAGCCAGGGCUGUUGCAGUCACAGCACUAGGAGGCCUGUCUAUUCUGGGGAGCUGGAGGGCUGUUUGAAAUGUGGAUUUAUCUAGAUUCAGAUUGGAGAAAUGGCAACUUUGUGCUUCAUGUUCCCUCUUUUAUUUUGGAAUCAAGAGAAGCCUUAUUAAAGCCCCUUGAUGCUUCUGCUCUUGGGCUAAAAAUCGUUUCCUAUUUUCUUCCCAAGCCAGGCCUUUUGGACACUCAAUAUUUUUCUAUCCUAGUGAAUGACCUAAGCUGGGGCGAGGCUCUUCUUGCCUCUCCCUCCCCAGGAAGUGGAGAAGCUGCUGAAGGAAAUGCUGCCAGGACUAUACCUGGAAAGAAACUAUAGCCUGAAAGGCCCCAAGACAGCUAUCCCACGAGGCGGGGAAUUCCUGUCUCUCUGCUUCAGGCAGCUUUUCUUCCACUCCGCUCAUCAUCCCCUCACCUACCUUUUUCUCCCAUUCUCUCUCCCCCACCUCUUCCUUAAUCCCAGGUCAGCUUCUCAUAAAUUUUCUCUUUCAAACUAUCCUCACUUUUUCCUUUUCAUCUUGCUUUACUCUUUCACAUCUAAGGCCAGUAAAACUAGAUUUUUCUCUGACUGCGGCUAAAUAAAAGCAGUUGAUCUUACAUUGUAUGUGAGAGGAUUUUGUAAACUAAAAUCUUAUGUAAAUGUUAGCUAGUAUUAUUGUAUGUGAACAUAUUAAGGGAAAUAAAACCACUGAUUUAAAGAGUA